AUCACUUCUUGGCCUUUUGACUAAGAUCAAGCAUAGUACCUGUUCUUAUCAAUUUAAUAUCUGAACAUCCUAUACCAAAGGACAACAUAUUACAUGGAUUUCAGAAACAGGGAGGUAGAUGGAAUAGGAGCUUUCUACAUCCAAUCUGUGCACCAACCCAGUAUUGCAGUACUUCCGGGACGGUGCACCCCUU
This is a small nuclear RNA of Molossus molossus (Pallas's mastiff bat), 193 nucleotides long. RefSeq annotates it as U2 spliceosomal RNA. The record is from RefSeq and is a predicted model, not a curated record. The transcript has a single exon. Lineage: Eukaryota; Metazoa; Chordata; Mammalia; Chiroptera; Molossidae.